AAAUUAUAUUGGGGGCUCAUUGACAAAUCUCCUUCUAAAAGAAAGAGCUACUUGAGCUAGCUCGGAUCUCCUCAUUCACAAGCCAAAGACUAUUCGAGCCCUUAUUAUCGAGCUCUACAGAUUCUCCGACCAUAUCCAACACAUUUUUAGCUACUUGAGGUAGGCCUUUUGAUGUGAUCAACAAAGGAUGAUAUUUAUUCAUAUAAGACCCUAGUUAUGUUUACAACUAUGGAUAGGUUCUCAUUUCAUUCUCGAACUAGUACCAGC
Molecule: long non-coding RNA, 267 nt
Filed under: Elaeis guineensis (African oil palm)
Lineage: Eukaryota; Viridiplantae; Streptophyta; Magnoliopsida; Arecales; Arecaceae
Description: long non-coding RNA (EGUI_LNC021126)
Source: RNAcentral